This 158-nucleotide ribosomal RNA is filed under the name Bacillus amyloliquefaciens. RNAcentral's name for it is "partial 16S ribosomal RNA". It matches the Rfam family "Bacterial small subunit ribosomal RNA", at positions 369 to 521 of the family's 1533-position model. The record is from RNAcentral. Lineage: Bacteria; Bacillati; Bacillota; Bacilli; Caryophanales; Bacillaceae.
UAAUGUCGAAAGUCUGACGGAGCACGCCGCGUGAGUGUGAAGGUUUUCGGAUCGUAAAGCUCUGUUGUUAGGGAAGAACAAGUGCCGUUCAAAUAGGGCGGCACCUUGACGGUACCUAACCAGAAAGCCACGGCUAACUACGUGCCAGCGGUCGCGGU